GUGGUUAGAGUGUAGAGGCGACAGGGUAGCCUAGUGGUUAGAGUGUAGAGGCGGCAGGGUAGCCUAGUGGUUAGAGUGUAGAGGCGGCAGGGUAGCCUAGUGGUUAGAGUGUAGAGGCGGCAGGGUAGCCUAGUGGUUAGAGUGUAGAGGCGGCAGGGUAGCCUAGUGGUUAGAGUGUAGAGGCGGCAGGGUAGCCUAGUGGUUAGAGUGUAGAGGCGGCAGGGUAGCCUAGUGGUUAGAGUGUAGAGGCGGCAGGGUAGCCUAGUGGUUAGAGUGUAGAGGCGGCAGGGUAGCCUAGUGGUUAGAGUGUAGAGGCGGCAGGGUAGCCUAGUGGUUAGAGUGUAGAGGGGGCAGGGUAGCCUAGUGGUUAGAGUGUAGAGGCGGCAGGGUAGCCUAGUGGUUAGAGUGUAGAGGCGGCAGGGUAGCCUAGUGGUUAGAGUGUAGAGGCGGCAGGGUAGCCUAGUGGUUAGAGUGUAGAGGCGGCAGGGUAGCCUAGUGGUUAGAGUGUAGAGGCGGCAGGGUAGCCUAGUGGUUAGAGUGUAGAGGCGGCAGGGUAGCCUAGUGGUUAGAGUGUAGAGGCGGCAGGGUAGCCUAGUGGUUAGAGUGUAGAGGCGGCAGGGUAGCCUAGUGGUUAGAGUGUAGAGGCGGCAGGGUAGCCUAGUGGUUAGAGUGUAGAGGCGACAGGGUAGCCUAGUGGUUAGAGUGUAGAGGCGACAGGGUAGCCUAGUGGUUAGA
Oncorhynchus keta (chum salmon) is the source of this 735-nucleotide long non-coding RNA. RefSeq lists it as uncharacterized. The transcript has 3 exons. The record is from RefSeq and is a predicted model, not a curated record. Lineage: Eukaryota; Metazoa; Chordata; Actinopteri; Salmoniformes; Salmonidae.